ACGCCGCGAGAGACAGCCCGCUUGCACGGGCUGGCUCGUCUUUGCGACCGUCGCAGGACCGCCAGGAUCACCGGCGUUUCCCGCCAAUCCUCCUACUCCUCCUCCUCCCGUGUAUUCUCCUCACCCCCGCUGCCGGUAGGCAAGCGGAAGAAGGAGAAAAGGAGAAGGAAGAAGACUCAAGGCUACCAGUCCGUCCGGGCCUUCGACGUCCCCCAGCAACGGGUCGCGGCGCCCUACAACGAGGGAAUAUCGCCGGCCGACGCCAGCGUGGGUGCAGGCACGCCCAAGCAUUCGUGGGUCGCUGCUUCCGACUGAAUCGGCGGACAGACAGAGAGACCCGCACCCAGCCGAGGUCGGCCGCCUGAAUCCCUCGGUUCGACCUUCAAGGUUCCAUCCGUUUGGCUCUUAACGGUUUCACGUACUCUUGAACUCUCUCUUCAAAGUUCUUUUCAACAUUCCCUCACGGUACUUGUUCGCUAUCGGUCUCGUGGUCAUAUUUAGCCUUAGAUGGAGUUUACCACCUGCUUUGGGCUGCACUAUCAAGCAACCCGACUCUA
This is a non-coding RNA of Cherax quadricarinatus, 557 nucleotides long. Lineage: Eukaryota; Metazoa; Arthropoda; Malacostraca; Decapoda; Parastacidae. The record is from RefSeq and is a predicted model, not a curated record.